This 251-nucleotide ribosomal RNA is filed under the name uncultured Gardnerella sp. RNAcentral's name for it is "partial 16S ribosomal RNA". It matches the Rfam family "Bacterial small subunit ribosomal RNA", at positions 103 to 355 of the family's 1533-position model. The record is from RNAcentral. Lineage: Bacteria; Bacillati; Actinomycetota; Actinomycetes; Bifidobacteriales; Bifidobacteriaceae.
CGGGUGAGUAAUGCGUGACCAACCUGCCCCAUGCUCCAGAAUAGCUCUUGGAAACGGGUGGUAAUGCUGGAUGCUCCAACUUGACGCAUGUCUUGUUGGGAAAGUGUUUAGUGGCAUGGGAUGGGGUCGCGCCUAUCAGCUUGUAGGCGGGGUAAUGGCCCACCUAGGCUUCGACGGGUAGCCGGCCUGAGAGGGCGGACGGCCACAUUGGGACUGAGAUACGGCCCAGACUCCUACGGGAGGCAGCAGCU